This 547-nucleotide long non-coding RNA is filed under the name Dicentrarchus labrax (European seabass). RNAcentral's name for it is "lncRNA (ENSDLAG00005029909.1)". Lineage: Eukaryota; Metazoa; Chordata; Actinopteri; Moronidae. The record is from RNAcentral.
UCUACAUGAAGUGUACCCCGAUCUGUAUUUGUUGUUCAGUUUAAUUUCUGAAGAACACAAUUUACAUAAAUGUGUCUAUGUUUUGUUUUGAAGGAUGACUCUUUUCUUCUCUUUCUCUACCUCUGUCUGUGUGUGACAAUGUUCUUUUCAGACAAUGAAGUGGACGGGGAAACAGUAGAGUAUGGCCUGACGGAUAAUAUGGUAUCAUGCCUUUUUCCUGGAUCAUUCAAAAAACAAGUCAAGUUCAACAAAUUUAUACAGGAGUUAAAGGAUGUUGUAACACUGACUGUAGAACCAGUGCCUGAAGAAUGCAUUGAGCAGCCUUCGACUAUAGAAAGUGAGACAAAUCGGAGACUGCCUGCUGGUUUCAUCAUUCCACCUUUCCCCAGAGAUCUUCAGACCAGACUCGACAACAAAGAAGCAUGUUUGAAGUUAUCUAGAGAUCGACAUAGGAUCAUUCGAGUUCCCAUGAAGCAAUCAUCGAAUACACAAUGUAAGUCAAUGUAUGUAUUGUCCAUUGCUACUCAUGGCCAAGUUAGAACAUUUU